Non-coding RNA from Acanthosepion pharaonis, 114 nucleotides. The record is from the annotation of a GenBank genome assembly. Lineage: Eukaryota; Metazoa; Mollusca; Cephalopoda; Sepiida; Sepiidae.
UUAUGGCCAUAUCACCUUGAAACACUAGUUCUCAUAGAAUCACCAAAGUUAAGCAAUUUUGAGCCUGAUCAGUACCUAGAUGGGUAAUUGCUUGUGAAUACCAACUGCUGUAAG